CUCCGUGUCACUCCUACACUGUAUGUCCAAUCAGCCAAUCAUCAAGCACGAUAAUAUGGGGAUAUCCUCACACUAGAGCUCCCUCUACCACAGGACAACUAUUUCUGAGUUGCUUCAACACCUGGAGCUCCAACCAAUUCCGGCCACUCGUAGCCCCCUAGGACAUGUGGAACAUUUACUGGAGCCCAACCUAGCUAUCUGCCCCCAAACCAACCCAACACUUGUUCCUUCAUCCCGCCUGCCUGUCACACCUAACCAGUCGGUAAAUAUUUGACACAGCAUGAUCUGAUGUCUGCCAUCAAAAUGGGGCCAUCGAGGGUCAGCUCACAGUAUUGGCCCAUUCACAAACAAGGAAAUAAAUAUUGUUUUGUCAAUAAAGGAAUUUC
This 386-nucleotide long non-coding RNA is filed under the name Haliotis rubra (blacklip abalone). RNAcentral describes it as "uncharacterized LOC124253421, transcript variant X1". Lineage: Eukaryota; Metazoa; Mollusca; Gastropoda; Lepetellida; Haliotidae. The record is from RNAcentral.